Molecule: ribosomal RNA, 253 nt
Filed under: uncultured bacterium
Lineage: Bacteria
Description: partial 16S ribosomal RNA
Rfam family: Bacterial small subunit ribosomal RNA
Source: RNAcentral
UACGUAGGGGACAAGCGUUGUCCGGAUUUACUGGGCGUAAAGAGCGCGCAGGCGGUCGAUCAAGUCGAGUGUGAAAGCCCCCGGCUCAACUGGGGAGGGGCAUUCGAUACUGAUCGACUCGAAGGCAGGAGAGGGUAGUGGAAUUCCCGGUGUAGUGGUGAAAUGCGUAGAUAUCGGGAGGAACACCAGUGGCGAAGGCGACUUCCUGGCCUGUUCUUGACGCUGAGGCGCGAAAGCUAGGGUAGCAAACGGG